Non-coding RNA from Strongylocentrotus purpuratus (purple sea urchin), 128 nucleotides. The record is from Rfam. Lineage: Eukaryota; Metazoa; Echinodermata; Echinoidea; Camarodonta; Strongylocentrotidae.
GCCUACGACCAUACCAUGCUGAAUAUACCGGUUCUCGUCCGAUCACCGAAGUCAAGCAGCGUAGGGCCUGGUUAGUACUUGGAUGGGAGACCGCCUGGGAAUGGCGGGAAUACCGGGUGUUGUAGGCA